Molecule: ribosomal RNA, 248 nt
Filed under: uncultured Gardnerella sp.
Lineage: Bacteria; Bacillati; Actinomycetota; Actinomycetes; Bifidobacteriales; Bifidobacteriaceae
Description: partial 16S ribosomal RNA
Rfam family: Bacterial small subunit ribosomal RNA
Source: RNAcentral
UAGAGUAAUGCGUGACCAACCUGCCCCAUGCUCCAGAAUAGCUCUUGGAAACGGGUGGUAAUGCUGGAUGCUCCAACUUGACGCAUGUCUUGUUGGGAAAGUGUUUAGUGGCAUGGGAUGGGGUCGCGUCCUAUCAGCUUGUAGGCGGGGUAAUGGCCCACCUAGGCUUCGACGGGUAGCCGGCCUGAGAGGGCGGACGGCCACAUUGGGACUGAGAUACGGCCCAGACUCUACGGGAGGCAGCAGGC